This 1304-nucleotide ribosomal RNA is filed under the name Acrasis helenhemmesae. RNAcentral describes it as "partial 18S small subunit ribosomal RNA". It matches the Rfam family "Eukaryotic small subunit ribosomal RNA", at positions 636 to 1831 of the family's 1831-position model. Lineage: Eukaryota; Heterolobosea; Eutetramitea; Acrasida; Acrasidae. The record is from RNAcentral.
UGGAUAUGUGCACGGUAUUUGACCAAUUACGGGGCCGGUAUGUUAUAAUACUUGUCACGUAUGCGGUCGAACACCUUCGGUGCCGAACCUUCGGGUAAGGUAUGUGUGCAUGUUCAUUUUCUGCGCUCUGUUAGUUUACUAAUAGAGCAUCGCAACUGUAAAGAAAUCAACGUGCUUCAAGCAGGCUCUGUUGGGCUUCGGCUCUUGUGCUUGUAUGAUUCAGUACGGGAUUGUCUUUCACUGUGGAUAGUCACCUUUCGGGGUGUCUAUUUACAGUAUUUGCAAUGUGAAGCAGGGUGAGGGCUCAAGUACUAUGGUGCUAGAGGUGAAAUUUAGAUACCACCAUAUGACUAUCUGAUGCGAAAGCGGUUAGCCCACCACACUUCAGUCGAUCAGGAGCGAAAGUUAGGGGAUCGAAGAUGAUUAGAUACCGUCGUAGUCCUAACUGUAAACGAUACCAACAAAAGAUUGGUAGCGAAACCUUUUAUGAUCCUCUCAGAAUUCAAAGGAAACUUUUAAGUCUUUGGGUUCUGGGGGGAGUAUAGUCGCAAGGCCGAAACUUAAAGGAAUUGACGGAAAGGCACCACCAGGAGUGGAGUUUGCGGCUUAAUUCGACUCAACGCGGGAAAACUUACUAGAACAUGACAGAGGUAUGAUUGACAGAUUAACGAUCUUUCUUGAUUCUCUGGAUGGUGGUGCAUGGCCGUUCUUAGUUCGUGGAGUGAUUUGUCUUGUUAAUUCAGUAAACGAACGAGACCUUAUCUUACUAAAUAGCUUAAUAAUUGGACUUGUCCAAUGGUUUAUAAAAGCAUGCCGUACGGUAUGUUCUAGUAAACUUAACAUGGUGACUUGUCACCGGCUUCUUAGAAGGACAACACAUCGUACUGUAGUGUGGGGAAGUUUAAGGCAAUAACAGGUCUGUGAUGCCCUUAGAUGCUCUAGGCAGCACGCGUACUACACUAUUAAUACUAAUAUGCCAAAAAUUGAACCACUUGUGGUUCAAAACCUUGCCUUAACAGGUUGGGAAAUCAUAUCAAACAUUAAUGUGACAGGGAUAGCUGAUUGGAACUUCGGCUUCAACGAGGAAUUCCUAGUAAUCGCAAUUCAUCAUAUUGCAAUGAUUACGUCCCUGCCUUUUGUACACACCGCCCGUCGCUCCUAUCGAUGGGAUAGAAAGGUGAAUUUGACGGACUGAACUAGCCAGUUUAGAAAAUCAACUGAACCUUUUUAUCUGUAGAAAGGAGAAGUCGUAACAAGGUUUUCGUAGGUGAACCUGCAGAAGGAUCAAGCUUGGAAUCCCGGGA